This 466-nucleotide ribosomal RNA is filed under the name uncultured bacterium. RNAcentral's name for it is "partial 16S ribosomal RNA". It matches the Rfam family "Bacterial small subunit ribosomal RNA", at positions 28 to 507 of the family's 1533-position model. The record is from RNAcentral.
GACGAACGCUGGCGGCGUGCUUAACACAUGCAAGUCGAACGGAAAGGCCCUGCUUGCAGGGUACUCGAGUGGCGAACGGGUGAGUAACACGUGGGUGAUCUGCCCUGCACUUCGGGAUAAGCCUGGGAAACUGGGUCUAAUACCGGAUAGGAGCCAUUUUUAGUGUGAUGGUUGGAAAGUUUUUUUCGGUGUAGGAUGAGCUCGCGGCCUAUCAGCUUGUUGGUGGGGUAAUGGCCUACCAAGGCGGCGACGGGUAGCCGGCCUGAGAGGGUGGACGGCCACAUUGGGACUGAGAUACGGCCCAGACUCCUACGGGAGGCAGCAGUGGGGAAUAUUGCACAAUGGGCGCAAGCCUGAUGCAGCGACGCCGCGGGGGGGAUGACGGCCUUCGGGUUGUAAACUCCUUUCGCUAGGGACGAAGCUUUUUGUGACGGUACCUAGAGAAGAAGCACCGGCUAACUACGUG